GGCGAGGGGAACCAAAACUAGCUAACGGCGGAAUCCUUGCAGGGACUAGGUGGCAAGCUGCUCCUUCCCGAAGCAACAAGGCGUUGCGCGAAGCUCUCGAUUCUUUGUCCGUUCGUCUCCGUCAAUAAUCGCUUCCCGCCAAACGGCAAAGACUCCACGCCUCUCUCCUUCAACACCUCGUCUUCCACUCUCGGGCCCAUCAGUCCAUCGCUCGUCAAUCCAUUUGCCUACACACAUUUCACGCCGUCAAUCACUACCCGGUAAAAAAGAAGAGAUUUCUAAACCCUGUUUGGCAACCGAGAAAAAAGGAGGAAAAAAAAAUAUCGCUUCCGUGUUCUUUUAGUUAGGAGUUUUAGCGGGCACAUUUUAGUCUGGUGUUGGCAAUGGAAAACUACAUUGAUUAUUUUUUUUGAACCCAAUUUUCUGAGCAGUCAACCAAGCGAAAUUGAGCAUACCUGGAUUCUAACGUAAUCUGAACGGUUCCAACAAAAGGCAUUCCCCAACAUCUGGUCGACAGUCUCCGAAACUCCAUCAAGCACAAUACUAACAACAGACGAAGUCGAGCACUCUCCGUUACGCCUGUGAUUCCUCCUACUUAAGGAUCCACUCAAUGGGCCACUACCCAAUGAUAGAACCAACAGAUCCUCUACUCCGUUAGCUGACGGGAAAUCUCGCUUAUUAUGGAGCACGUGUGUAACUGCAGCAGCCGUCGGGUUGUUCAUCACUAGGCCACCAUCAAUGGCGCAGCAAGAGGUCUUUCCGUCGACGGACGUCAAGUUAAACGGCUUGAAGAGGCUUGGCGUGGCUAGCGUAGCACGGCAGACUUUCCAGAGAUCGAAGUUGAAACUCGGUGACUCUGACGCAUCUGCUCUGGAGAAAACAAAGGGAGCAGAGCUGUUGAGGUCAAAGCAAGGAAUAAGGAGAGGCUUACACGUGUCCUUCAAGGUCAAUAUCUCCCCGUCAUCUCGCCUGAAAGCUUCCUUUAAAGCCUUGUCUAUGCUCUUACCCGAGAAUAAUUUGCGCCGGUGGAGGAAUCCAACGAGCUUGACCUUGAAGAGCUCGGAGUUUUUGUCAGACAGGAAUGCUACAGCAUCUCUGGCAGUGUAAAGAGGACGGCCAGAGCCGUCAUCAGCGGCCAGCAUGGCAGCAAGGAGAGCACCGAUGCCAGUGCCGGCGAUGAUGUCAAAGAAAUCUGCGAUUCGAGCCUGAGGGUCACCGAUUUUGAGGCGGAUCUGGUCCUCGAGGUGAAUAAGAGAAGCACCGGCGACAAUACCGGUAGUUCCACCGCCGUCAAUGCUGAGCACCCGCGUUUUCUUGGCAUUCUCACAGUGGGAUAACCACUUCUGCUCAAGCUUGGAAAAGAUCUCCAGCGUUACUUUGCUAAGCUCCAUUUGAAUUGCGAAAACUGCAAUGUAGGCGUCGCUCUAAAUGCGUUAAAAGUUAUAUAUCCGUGAAAAGGAGUGAAUGGUCUAUCUCACGCUUUCUUGCUGAAAGGCAUUAAUUGCUGCAGAAUGCCCGCUCUUUUACUCUCUUCAACUAAAGCCCUUACCUCCCAACCUCAUCAAAUCUCUCUUCCCUUCUCUUCUACCUUCACUGUACAGUGGUAGCUAGUGUUUCUGUUACUCUCAGUGUGUGGGGCUAAGAGUUAAAACCGGGAGUGAGGAGGCG
Molecule: unclassified non-coding RNA, 1668 nt
Filed under: Hevea brasiliensis (rubber tree)
Lineage: Eukaryota; Viridiplantae; Streptophyta; Magnoliopsida; Malpighiales; Euphorbiaceae
Source: RNAcentral